Molecule: ribosomal RNA, 294 nt
Filed under: Escherichia coli
Lineage: Bacteria; Pseudomonadati; Pseudomonadota; Gammaproteobacteria; Enterobacterales; Enterobacteriaceae
Description: partial 16S ribosomal RNA
Rfam family: Bacterial small subunit ribosomal RNA
Source: RNAcentral
AAAUUGAAGAGUUUGAUCAUGGCUCAGAUUGAACGCUGGCGGCAGGCCUAACACAUGCAAGUCGAACGGUAACAGGAAGCAGCUUGCUGCUUUGCUGACGAGUGGCGGACGGGUGAGUAAUGUCUGGGAAACUGCCUGAUGGAGGGGGAUAACUACUGGAAACGGUAGCUAAUACCGCAUAACGUCGCAAGACCAAAGAGGGGGACCUUCGGGCCUCUUGCCAUCGGAUGUGCCCAGAUGGGAUUAGCUUGUUGGUGGGGUAACGGCUCACCAAGGCGACGAUCCCUAGCUGGU